Hypomesus transpacificus is the source of this 1413-nucleotide long non-coding RNA. RefSeq lists it as uncharacterized. The transcript is spliced from 3 exons. NCBI's taxonomy places the organism in Eukaryota, Metazoa, Chordata, Actinopteri, Osmeriformes, Osmeridae. The record is from RefSeq and is a predicted model, not a curated record.
AAAACACCAUUGAUUUGAAUUCCUGUUUACCAGAGGAGUGCACUAAUGCUGCAUUGGAACACUCACCAAAGCAUAUGGGCCUGGGUGGCCUUUGCCUCCCUUCUCCUCCUGUCUAGUCUCUGACGCUCCUCCAGAUGCUGUUUCUGGGUGUUGGCCUCAUCCCACAAACCCGCCUCCAUAAGGCGUUGGUCAGGUCGCAGGCGGCUGUCUGUUGGGGCCACUCCGUCCUCUAGCUCAUUCAGUGUCAGUGCCAGGGAAGAGAAAAAGUGCAUGUUCUCAGCAUUAGCCCUGUUGUGGUGGACAGAGAAGGAGAGCAGGAAAAAAUUAAAGAGAGUGGAAAUAUAGAUUGACAGCAUAUCUGAUAGUACAUAAUGGCUGGAGGUCUACAGAAAGCCUAAAGUGAGUGUGCCGGAGUGACUAGCCAGCUGUUCUUACGGAAGAGGGUAUUUUUUCCACAGCAGUUUAGGUUGGAGGGUCUGGUACACGGUCUUCUGUUUACCCUCUGAUCCGCCACACCCCCGACUGCUUUCUACAAUCUUGGCGCUUUCCAUUUUGUCAUCCCACGUGCCUGACAGGAUGUAGUGAGCUAUCCCCUCGCUGUUGGCCACUACCCCUGUAACCUGGAGAUACGGGGAGAUACAAGACACGACAGAGAGGAAGUGAGAGAGGGAGACAAAAAGAGGAAGAAGAGGAUAGGUAAAUAUAGGAGGAAGACAAGAGAAUAACUUGUUUUCCGCAGUGAGGAUACAGAACUGUACACCAGCGUCCAAUAGAGUACACAAUGUACCUUGCGAGGGACGUCUCUGGAGAAGUAGCUGUAGGGAGAAAACUUGAGGUGGCAGGUCUCCUUGGUCCUGUGAUUGGCAAUUUCAAUGUCCCCAGACUGAAGAAAAAGAGAUCUCAAGAUGGAGCGAUAGCCAUAUUCAUCAAGGCGGUCCAGCUCAUAGGUCUCCCCCAGCAGGGGGUUGAAGGGCUUUGCGGUGCGGUGGACAGUGGUGGAGUAGGAGGAAACAGAAAAGGCCGCCACCAGACACAUCUGGUCCAAAGAAGAAUCGCAGCGAGCUGCCCUGUCCAAAAUCUCACUAUACUCCAGGUCCUCAGUCAGUCGCUGCAACAUCGAAAGCGGCUCACUGAAAUUGACCUUUAGGGGGGGAAAACAUUUUUUGCAUUGGGAAUGAAAAAUAGCAUUCUCUUUUUUUGGAAUGACAGCGUGUCCAUUUCUGUCUUUUCUCACAGGCAUGGGGAUCUUGGACAGCUCCUUGCCAAUGCAGUUCUUCAUGAUGCUCCACAGGUUGAGGGAAUAGUUUGGUUUAUCUGGGAUGCGGCUGCGUCGGGUCCUACACAGCUGCAGGUGGUUAGAACCUGACGAGUCCUGCGAAACAUCCAUUAUAAUAAAAAAGUAGUUUGAUACUG